RNAcentral lists this ribosomal RNA (447 nucleotides) under uncultured bacterium. RNAcentral's name for it is "bacterial SSU rRNA". It matches the Rfam family "Bacterial small subunit ribosomal RNA", at positions 329 to 793 of the family's 1533-position model. The record is from RNAcentral.
GUCCAGACUCCUACGGGAGGCAGCAGUGGGGGAUAUUGCACAAUGGGGGGAACCCUGAUGCAGCGACGCCGCGUGGGUGAAGAAGCGCCUCGGCGCGUAAAGCCCUGUCAGCAGGGAAGAAAAUGACGGUACCUGACUAAGAAGCCCCGGCUAACUACGUGCCAGCAGCCGCGGUAAUACGUAGGGGGCAAGCGUUAUCCGGAUUUACUGGGUGUAAAGGGAGCGUAGACGGCAGUGCAAGUCCGGAGUGAAAGCCCGGGGCUCAACCCUGGGACUGCUCUGGAAACUGUAAAGCUGGAGUGCGGGAGGGGCAGGCGGAAUUCCUGGUGUAGCGGUGAAAUGCGUAGAUAUCAGGAGGAACACCGGCGGCGAAGGCGGCCUGCUGGACCGUAACUGACGUUGAGGCUCGAAAGCGUGGGGAGCAAACAGGAUUAGAUACCCUCGUAC